RNAcentral lists this ribosomal RNA (465 nucleotides) under uncultured bacterium. Its description in RNAcentral is "partial 16S ribosomal RNA". It matches the Rfam family "Bacterial small subunit ribosomal RNA", at positions 28 to 507 of the family's 1533-position model. The record is from RNAcentral.
GACGAACGCUGGCGGCGUGCUUAACACAUGCAAGUCGAACGGAAAGGCCCCUUUGGGGGUACUCGAGUGGCGAACGGGUGAGUAACACGUGAGUAACCUGCCCUUGACUUCGGGAUAACUUCAGGAAACUGGGGCUAAUACCGGAUAGGAAUCCUUGCUGCAUGGUGGGGGUUGGAAAGCUUCGGCGGUUUUGGAUGGACUCGCGGCUUAUCAGCUUGUUGGUGGGGGAGUGGCUUACCAAGGCUUUGACGGGUAGCCGGCCUGAGAGGGCGACCGGCCACAUUGGGACUGAGAUACGGCCCAGACGCCUACGGGAGGCAGCAGUGGGGAAGAUUGCACAAUGGGCGGAAGCCGGAUGCAGCAACGCCGCGUGCGGGAUGACGGCCUUCGGGUUGUAAACCGCUUUCAGCAGGGGCGAAGCUUGUGGUGACGGUACCUGCAGAAGAAGCACCGGCUAACUACGUG